Mandrillus leucophaeus (drill) is the source of this 335-nucleotide long non-coding RNA. RefSeq lists it as uncharacterized. NCBI's taxonomy places the organism in Eukaryota, Metazoa, Chordata, Mammalia, Primates, Cercopithecidae. The transcript is spliced from 2 exons. The record is from RefSeq and is a predicted model, not a curated record.
GUUGCAGGUUUCCAAUGCGCCUUCUAUGAGAAAGUCAAGAGGGUGCCACUCCCUUCCAAGGAUAAUCCUAAUCCCUGACUUCAACUUCUUGCUAUAUACGCCAUCUGUAAAGGUUACCUAUCCUUAAGCAUAUUUGAAUCCUUCCUGAGGAUGGUAUAACUUUGCGGCAACCCUCCCAGAAAGACUCCUGUGUUCUCUCCAAUAACAGUACUACCAUUCAGGAUGGCAGAGGAACCUAGAGAAUAGGAGAUGAGAAACACACCUUCACCAGGAUACUCUAUUUUUACUAACUCAUCAAAUAAUAAAAUCCUUCGCCAGCCUUCGGGAUACCACUC